RNAcentral lists this ribosomal RNA (1525 nucleotides) under Salmonella enterica. RNAcentral's name for it is "partial 23S ribosomal RNA". It matches the Rfam family "Bacterial large subunit ribosomal RNA", at positions 1294 to 2802 of the family's 2925-position model. Lineage: Bacteria; Pseudomonadati; Pseudomonadota; Gammaproteobacteria; Enterobacterales; Enterobacteriaceae. The record is from RNAcentral.
AUGCUGACAUAAGUAACGAUAAAGCGGGUGAAAAGCCCGCUCGCCGGAAGACCAAGGGUUCCUGUCCAACGUUAAUCGGGGCAGGGUGAGUCGACCCCUAAGGCGAGGCCGAAAGGCGUAGUCGAUGGGAAACAGGUUAAUAUUCCUGUACUUGGUGUUACUGCGAAGGGGGGACGGAGAAGGCUAUGUUGGCCGGGCGACGGUUGUCCCGGUUUAAGCGUGUAGGUGUGUGUUCCAGGUAAAUCCGGUUCACUUUAACACUGAGGCGUGAUGACGAGGCACUACGGUGCUGAAGCAACAAAUGCCCUGCUUCCAGGAAAAGCCUCUAAGCAUCAGGUAACAUCAAAUCGUACCCCAAACCGACACAGGUGGUCAGGUAGAGAAUACCAAGGCGCUUGAGAGAACUCGGGUGAAGGAACUAGGCAAAAUGGUGCCGUAACUUCGGGAGAAGGCACGCUGACACGUAGGUGAAGUGAUUUACUCAUGGAGCUGAAGUCAGUCGAAGAUACCAGCUGGCUGCAACUGUUUAUUAAAAACACAGCACUGUGCAAACACGAAAGUGGACGUAUACGGUGUGACGCCUGCCCGGUGCCGGAAGGUUAAUUGAUGGGGUCAGCGCAAGCGAAGCUCCUGAUCGAAGCCCCGGUAAACGGCGGCCGUAACUAUAACGGUCCUAAGGUAGCGAAAUUCCUUGUCGGGUAAGUUCCGACCUGCACGAAUGGCGUAAUGAUGGCCAGGCUGUCUCCACCCGAGACUCAGUGAAAUUGAACUCGCUGUGAAGAUGCAGUGUACCCGCGGCAAGACGGAAAGACCCCGUGAACCUUUACUAUAGCUUGACACUGAACAUUGAGCCUUGAUGUGUAGGAUAGGUGGGAGGCUUUGAAGCGUGGACGCCAGUCUGCGUGGAGCCGACCUUGAAAUACCACCCUUUAAUGUUUGAUGUUCUAACGUGGACCCGUAAUCCGGGUUGCGGACAGUGUCUGGUGGGUAGUUUGACUGGGGCGGUCUCCUCCUAAAGAGUAACGGAGGAGCACGAAGGUUGGCUAAUCCUGGUCGGACAUCAGGAGGUUAGUGCAAUGGCAUAAGCCAGCUUGACUGCGAGCGUGACGGCGCGAGCAGGUGCGAAAGCAGGUCAUAGUGAUCCGGUGGUUCUGAAUGGAAGGGCCAUCGCUCAACGGAUAAAAGGUACUCCGGGGAUAACAGGCUGAUACCGCCCAAGAGUUCAUAUCGACGGCGGUGUUUGGCACCUCGAUGUCGGCUCAUCACAUCCUGGGGCUGAAGUAGGUCCCAAGGGUAUGGCUGUUCGCCAUUUAAAGUGGUACGCGAGCUGGGUUUAGAACGUCGUGAGACAGUUCGGUCCCUAUCUGCCGUGGGCGCUGGAGAACUGAGGGGGGCUGCUCCUAGUACGAGAGGACCGGAGUGGACGCAUCACUGGUGUUCGGGUUGUCAUGCCAAUGGCACUGCCCGGUAGCUAAAUGCGGAAGAGAUAAGUGCUGAAAGCAUCUAAGCACGAAACUUGCCCCGA